RNAcentral lists this ribosomal RNA (454 nucleotides) under uncultured bacterium. Its description in RNAcentral is "bacterial SSU rRNA". It matches the Rfam family "Bacterial small subunit ribosomal RNA", at positions 28 to 507 of the family's 1533-position model. The record is from RNAcentral.
GAUGAACGCUGGCGGCGUGCUUAACACAUGCAAGUCGAACGUGAGGAUAGCAAUAUUUGAAAGUGGCAAACGGGUGAGUAACACGUGGGAACCUGCCUCGAAGUGGGGGAUAACGAUUGGAAACGGUCGCUAAUACCGCACGGUUCUGCUCUGAUGGGAAUGGAGCAGAUAAAGAUUUAUCGCUUUGAGAGGGGCCCGCGGCCGAUUAGCUAGUUGGUAAGGUAAAGGCUUACCAAGGCGAUUAUCGGUAGCUGGUCUGAGAGGACGAUCAGCCACACGGGAACUGAGACACGGUCCCGACUCCUACGGGGGGCAGCAGUGAGGAAUAUUGGGCAAUGGGCGAAAGCCUGACCCAGCAACGCCGCGUGGAGGAUGAAGGCUUUAGGGUUGUAAACUCCUUUUGUGGGGAAAAGAAUGGAUGGUACCCCAAGAAUAAGUCACGGCUAACUACGUG